AGCAGCUUGGCUCAGUGGCAAGAGCACUGGCUUGGGAGUCAGGGAUCAUGGGUUCUAAUCCCAGCUCUGCCA
Non-coding RNA from Ornithorhynchus anatinus (platypus), 72 nucleotides. The record is from Rfam. Lineage: Eukaryota; Metazoa; Chordata; Mammalia; Monotremata; Ornithorhynchidae.